AGUUCCUAACAUUUGAAGAUUGGAAUAAUAGAGAAAAAGAAAGAAGAAAUAAAAAUGCUAAGUAAGUAGACUUGCAAAAGGUAAAGAGGUGCGGUAAAGAAAGGAAAGAUGGGAAUAGAUUAACCUCAGGGACGACGAAGUUGACUGCCAUUUCUUCCUGGUGAAGAAGAAGAUCGAAGACUUGAGAAACCGUCGGGGG
RNAcentral lists this long non-coding RNA (199 nucleotides) under Sorghum bicolor (sorghum). Its description in RNAcentral is "long non-coding RNA (SBIC_LNC011956)". The record is from RNAcentral. Lineage: Eukaryota; Viridiplantae; Streptophyta; Magnoliopsida; Poales; Poaceae.